AUUGCACUUCAUUGUGGGGCUU
RNAcentral lists this microRNA (22 nucleotides) under Saccoglossus kowalevskii. RNAcentral describes it as "sko-miR-4818a". Lineage: Eukaryota; Metazoa; Hemichordata; Enteropneusta; Harrimaniidae. The record is from miRBase by way of RNAcentral.